GCCGAGGCUUGGAAGGAGGGCCUGCCUGGUCUGUUGGCCCAUACCAGGCUUCCUUAGCGCCUCUGCUAGGAGCCAGUUAUCCUGUAGGCUGACUCAGCCUCUGCCCAGCCAUGCUCUGAAGCUGCUCUCUGCUGUUUUAAGCUGAGCACUGCAACCAGGGACCUCAGACACCAGAGACAAUGCAGGCCUCCAGAAAGCAGGAGAAGGACUUCUACAUCAAGGCUGGCAGGAGGAAUGGGAAAUGGGCAUUCAAGGACAUGGCAGUAUGCUAGGCUCUGUACAUCAGGACCUCAUGGAAACCAGAAAGCCCGAGGUCUUGGAAUCCUGAACAGUGUUCCAGGUAGCCAAAACUGGUCUGCAGAAUGAAGCUGAUGUGCACAAAGAUAUUCUGCCUUCAACGGAGGUGUGAGGAUCAGCUCCGUCUGGGUCAUGCCUGCAGUCCAGCUUCUCUCCUCUCCCAAAAUGACUCCGAUUUGGUGCUCAGCCUUGUGAUCACAGAUUGCCAAUAAAC
RNAcentral lists this long non-coding RNA (511 nucleotides) under Pan troglodytes (chimpanzee). RNAcentral's name for it is "long non-coding RNA NONPTRT012405". Lineage: Eukaryota; Metazoa; Chordata; Mammalia; Primates; Hominidae. The record is from RNAcentral.